UACGAAGGGUGCAAGCGUUACUCGGAAUUACUGGGCGUAAAGCGUGCGUAGGUGGUUUGUUAAGUCUGAUGUGAAAUCCCCGGGCUCAACCUGGGAAUGGCAUUGGAUACUGGCAGGCUAGAGUGCGGUAGAGGGUGGUGGAAUUCCCGGUGUAGCAGUGAAAUGCGUAGAGAUGCGGCGGAACACCGAUGGCGAAGGCAGCCCCCUGGGCUGAGAUUGACGCUCAGGCACGAAAGCGUGGGGAGCAAACAGG
Molecule: ribosomal RNA, 253 nt
Filed under: uncultured bacterium
Lineage: Bacteria
Description: partial 16S ribosomal RNA
Rfam family: Bacterial small subunit ribosomal RNA
Source: RNAcentral